GGGUCAAUGGUGAAGAGGCUAUCAUGCUCCUUUAGGGUAGGAGUGGUCCCGGGUUCGAAUCCCGGUUGACCCC
Molecule: transfer RNA, 73 nt
Filed under: Candida tropicalis
Lineage: Eukaryota; Fungi; Ascomycota; Pichiomycetes; Serinales; Debaryomycetaceae
Also listed under: 2 other names
Description: tRNA-Pro (AGG) (tRNA-Pro-AGG-1-1)
Rfam family: tRNA
About the family: Transfer RNA (tRNA) molecules are approximately 80 nucleotides in length. Their secondary structure includes four short double-helical elements and three loops (D, anti-codon, and T loops). Further hydrogen bonds mediate the characteristic L-shaped molecular structure. tRNAs have two regions of fundamental functional importance: the anti-codon, which is responsible for specific mRNA codon recognition, and the 3' end, to which the tRNAs corresponding amino acid is attached (by aminoacyl-tRNA synthetases). tRNAs cope with the degeneracy of the genetic code in two manners: having more than one tRNA (with a specific anti-codon) for a particular amino acid; and 'wobble' base-pairing, i.e. permitting non-standard base-pairing at the 3rd anti-codon position.
Source: RNAcentral